AAUCUAGUAUGAGAAAUUAGCGAUUUAAGUCCUUCUUAAAUGAGGCCAUUUACCCAUAGAGGGUGCCAGGCCCGUAUAACGUUAAUGAUUAUUAGAAGAUGUUUCCAAAGAGUCGUGUUGCUUGAUAGUGCAGCACUAAGUGGGUGGUAAACUCCAUCUAAAACUAAAUAUAACCAUGAGACCGAUAGUAAACAAGUACCGUGAGGGAAAGUUGAAAAGAACUCUGAAUAGAGAGUUAAAUAGUACGUGAAACUGCUUAGAGGUUAAGCCCGAUGAACCUGAAUAUCCAUUAUGGAAAAUUCAUCAUUAUGCCCAUGAUAUUAAUAAUAUUGUGGAAAUUUUGUGCAUUUUUUCCAUAUAAGGACAUUGUAAUCUAUUAACAUAAUAUAUAUUUAUCAAAAGGUCAUUUGCUUAAGUUUAUUCGAAUUAUUAUGCUUGCAUUUUAACAUAGAAUAAAUGCUUAUGAUUUGAUAAAGUGUUGAUAGAUUGAUUAUAUAUAAUUCUUAAAUUCAUUGUGAAUUUUAUAAUUGCAUCAAAGUCUUAUGAUUUGAAGUUAUAUUAUAUGAGUUUAUAUGAUUAACAAUGCGAUAGAUUCAGGAUACCUUCGGGACCCGUCUUGAAACACGGACCAAGGAGUCUAACAUAUGUGCAAGUCAUUGGGAUUAUUUACGUAAACCCAAAGGCAUAAUUAACUUAACUGUUUAUAAUGGGAUUAGUUUUUUGUCUAUUUAUAGUCAAUUAAUUCAAUCCCGGGGCGUUCUAUAUAGUUAUGUAUAAUAGU
This 781-nucleotide ribosomal RNA is filed under the name Pelidnoptera nigripennis. Its description in RNAcentral is "eukaryotic LSU rRNA". It matches the Rfam family "Eukaryotic large subunit ribosomal RNA", at positions 160 to 792 of the family's 3401-position model. Lineage: Eukaryota; Metazoa; Arthropoda; Insecta; Diptera; Sciomyzidae. The record is from RNAcentral.